RNAcentral lists this ribosomal RNA (253 nucleotides) under uncultured bacterium. RNAcentral describes it as "partial 16S ribosomal RNA". It matches the Rfam family "Bacterial small subunit ribosomal RNA", at positions 524 to 776 of the family's 1533-position model. The record is from RNAcentral.
UACAGAGGGUGCAAGCGUUGUUCGGAAUUAUUGGGCGUAAAGCGCGUGUAGGCGGCAGUGCAAGUCGGGUGUGAAAGCCCUCAGCUCAACUGAGGAAGUGCGCUCGAAACUGCAUUGCUUGAGUACCGGAGAGGAUGGCGGAAUUCCCGAAGUAGAGGUGAAAUUCGUAGAUAUCGGGAGGAACACCGGUGGCGAAGGCGGCCAUCUGGACGGAUACUGACGCUGAGACGCGAAAGCGUGGGUAGCAAACAGG